UACAGAGGGGGCAAGCGUUAUUCGGAAUUAUUGGGCGUAAAGGGUGCGUAGGCGGCCAGGUAAGUCAGGAGUGAAAGUUUGCGGCUCAACCGUAAAAUUGCUUUUGAUACUGCCAGGCUAGAAUUAGGAUGAGGUCAGCGGAAUGUGGCAUGUAGCGGUGAAAUGCAUAGAUAUGCCAUAGAACACCAAUUGCGAAGGCAGCUGGCUAGACCUGGAUUGACGCUGAGGCACGAAAGCGUGGGGAGCGAACAGG
Molecule: ribosomal RNA, 253 nt
Filed under: uncultured bacterium
Lineage: Bacteria
Description: partial 16S ribosomal RNA
Rfam family: Bacterial small subunit ribosomal RNA
Source: RNAcentral